UCCUACGGGGGGCAGCAGUAGGGAAUUUUCGUCAAUGGGCGCAAGCCUGAACGAGCAAUGCCGCGUGAACGAGGAAGGUCUUCGGAUCGUAAAGUUCUGUUGAAGGGGAAGAAGAGCGGAGAGAGGAAAUGGUCUCCGAUUGAUAUUACCCUUCGAGGAAGUCACGGCUAACUACGUGCCAGCAGCCGCGGUAAUACGUAGGUGGCGAGCGUUAUCCGGAAUGAUUGGGCGUAAAGGGUGCGUAGGCGGCCUGCUAAGUCUGGAGUGAAAGGUACCGGCUCAACCGGUACAGGCUCUGGAAACUG
Molecule: ribosomal RNA, 305 nt
Filed under: uncultured bacterium
Lineage: Bacteria
Description: bacterial SSU rRNA
Rfam family: Bacterial small subunit ribosomal RNA
Source: RNAcentral